Molecule: ribosomal RNA, 433 nt
Filed under: uncultured bacterium
Lineage: Bacteria
Description: partial 16S ribosomal RNA
Rfam family: Bacterial small subunit ribosomal RNA
Source: RNAcentral
AACGAACGCUGGCGGCAUGCCUAACACAUGCAAGUCGAACGAGACCUUCGGGUCUAGUGGCGCACGGGUGCGUAACGCGUGGGAAUCUGCCCUUGGGUUCGGAAUAACAGUUGGAAACGACUGCUAAUACCGGAUGAUGACGUAAGUCCAAAGAUUUAUCGCCCAGGGAUGAGCCCGCGUAGGAUUAGCUAGUUGGUGGGGUAAAGGCCUACCAAGGCGACGAUCCUUAGCUGGUCUGAGAGGAUGAUCAGCCACACUGGGACUGAGACACGGCCCAGACUCCUACGGGAGGCAGGAGUGGGGAAUAGUGGACAAUGGGCGAAAGCCUGAUCCAGCAAUGCCGCGUGAGUGAUGAAGGCCUUAGGGUUGUAAAGCUCUUUUACCCGGGAUGAUAAUGACAGUACCGGGAGAAUAAGCCCCGGCUAACUCCGUG